AAUAGAUACCCGGGUAGUCCACGCCGUAAACGAUGAGUGCUAAGUGUUAGAGGGUUUCCGCCCUUUAGUGCUGCAGCUAACGCAUUAAGCACUCCGCCUGGGGAGUACGGCCGCAAGGCCGAAACUCAAAGGAAUUGACGGGGGCCCGCACAAGCGGUGGAGCAUGUGGUUUAAUUCGAAGCAACGCGAAGAACCUUACCAGGUCUUGACAUCCUCUGCCAACCCUAGAGAUAGGGCGUUCCCCUUCGGGGGACAGAGUGACAGGUGGUGCAUGGUUGUCGUCAGCUCGUGUCGUGAGAUGUUGGGUUAAGUCCCGCAACGAGCGCAACCCUUGAUCUUAGUUGCCAGCAUUCAGUUGGGCACUCUAAGGUGACUGCCGGUGACAAACCGGAGGAAGGUGGGGAUGACGUCAAAUCAUCAUGCCCCUUAUGACCUGGGCUACACACGUGCUACAAUGGAUGGUACAAAGAGCUGCGAACCCGCGAGGGUAAGCCAAUCUCAUAAAGCCAUUCUCAGUUCGGA
RNAcentral lists this ribosomal RNA (522 nucleotides) under uncultured bacterium. Its description in RNAcentral is "bacterial SSU rRNA". It matches the Rfam family "Bacterial small subunit ribosomal RNA", at positions 777 to 1297 of the family's 1533-position model. The record is from RNAcentral.